RNAcentral lists this ribosomal RNA (451 nucleotides) under uncultured bacterium. RNAcentral describes it as "partial 16S ribosomal RNA". It matches the Rfam family "Bacterial small subunit ribosomal RNA", at positions 354 to 796 of the family's 1533-position model. The record is from RNAcentral.
GUGGGGAAUAUUGGACAAUGGGCGAAAGCCUGAUCCAGCCAUGCCGCGUGUGUGAAGAAGGCCUUUUGGUUGUAAAGCACUUUAAGCGAGGAGGAGGCUACCGAGAUUAAUACUCUUGGAUAGUGGACGUUACUCGCAGAAUAAGCACCGGCUAACUCUGUGCCAGCAGCCGCGGUAAUACAGAGGGUGCGAGCGUUAAUCGGAUUUACUGGGCGUAAAGCGUGCGUAGGCGGCUUUUUAAGUCGGAUGUGAAAUCACUGAGCUUAACUUAGGAAUUGCAUUCGAUACUGGGAAGCUAGAGUAUGGGAGAGGAUGGUAGAAUUCCAGGUGUAGCGGUGAAAUGCGUAGAGAUCUGGAGGAAUACCGAUGGCGAAGGCAGCCAUCUGGCCUAAUACUGACGCUGAGGUACGAAAGCAUGGGGAGCAAACAGGAUUAGAAACCCUUGUAGUCC